Molecule: long non-coding RNA, 653 nt
Organism: Serinus canaria (Common canary)
Lineage: Eukaryota; Metazoa; Chordata; Aves; Passeriformes; Fringillidae
Exons: 3
Source: RefSeq, a predicted model, not a curated record
AUUUGUCAUCAAUUAAGUGGGAGGGGAAGUUUCUGUGCUUUCUGAGAGAAGCAGAGGAUUUGCUAGAGCUGUGAGCAGGUCUGGUGGACAGAAAGGUCUCCUAGGAGAGCUCCUCAGUUAACACCAGUGGAAGCUGAGCUGGGUGUGACCAGGUGGCAGCAAAAGGGGGUGAGACACUCUUUUACAGGCUGGCUGUGACAAUACACGGGGUCAGCCAAGCAUUUCUCUUCCUGCUUGUCUCCCAGUUAGAGUGGCUGUGAGACAUUGCCAAAAACACCCAGUGCAGUCUUGUCAGCCCUUCUGUUUGCACAGAACAUCUCUUCGGGUAGCAGGAGGUGUGAGGCAGCUGAUCAUGUCCUGUACUUUUAAUCAUCUUGGAGUAAUGAGUUCCUACUGGUCUGAAAGUGAAAAACUCCUUCUCAGUGACCUGAGGGUUUCUCUGCUACGGUUUUUGGGGAAUCUGAAGAUUUUACAGGUGUGAUGGUUUCCAGCUAUUCCUGCUGCAACAGGGACAAGAAAUUCCCAAGGAAAACAGAGAGCUGGAGUGUGGGGAGGUGAAGGGGGAGGAAAUAAUUAAAAAAGCAUGAAAAAAAUCAAAUUGCCCUGAUCUGUGGUGUGUCUUAGCAGGGAGAUUACACCUUCAAAGCACCAUA